Molecule: transfer RNA, 78 nt
Filed under: Luteimonas sp. FCS-9
Lineage: Bacteria; Pseudomonadati; Pseudomonadota; Gammaproteobacteria; Lysobacterales; Lysobacteraceae
Also listed under: 2 other names
Description: tRNA-Met
Rfam family: tRNA
About the family: Transfer RNA (tRNA) molecules are approximately 80 nucleotides in length. Their secondary structure includes four short double-helical elements and three loops (D, anti-codon, and T loops).
Source: RNAcentral
AGCAGCGUAGAGAAGCCGGCCAAUCUCGCGUGGCUCAUAACCACGAGGUCGCCCGUUCGAAUCGGGCCGCUGCUACCA